UGGGGAAUAUUGGACAAUGGGCGCAAGCCUGAUGCAGCCAUGCCGCGUGUAUGAAGAAGGCCUUCGGGUUGUAAAGUACUUUCAGCGGGGAGGAAGGCGAUAAGGUUAAUAACCUUGUCGAUUGACGUUACCCGCAGAAGAAGCACCGGCUAACUCCGUGCCAGCAGCCGCGGUAAUACGGAGGGUGCAAGCGUUAAUCGGAAUUACUGGGCGUAAAGCGCACGCAGGCGGUCUGUCAAAUCGGAUGUGAAAUCCCCGGGCUCAACCUGGGAACUGCAUUCGAAACUGGCAGGCUAGAGUCUUGUAGAGGGGGGUAGAAUUCCAGGUGUAGCGGUGAAAUGCGUAGAGAUCUGGAGGAAUACCGGUGGCGAAGGCGGCCCCCUGGACAAAGACUGACGCUCAGGUGCGAAAGCGUGGGGAGCAAACA
Molecule: ribosomal RNA, 427 nt
Filed under: uncultured bacterium
Lineage: Bacteria
Description: partial 16S ribosomal RNA
Rfam family: Bacterial small subunit ribosomal RNA
Source: RNAcentral